Molecule: ribosomal RNA, 480 nt
Filed under: uncultured bacterium
Lineage: Bacteria
Description: partial 16S ribosomal RNA
Rfam family: Bacterial small subunit ribosomal RNA
Source: RNAcentral
GAUGAACGCUGGCGGCGUGCCUAACACAUGCAAGCGGACCGAGCGCUUUAAUUAAGUUUUCUCGGGAAGACGGAUUUUUGUGAUUGGGGGGGGGCGGGGUGGGAAACGCGGGGGAACCUGGCCCCUAAAGGGGGGUAAAAAGUAGGAAAGACUUGCUAUAACGCAAAAGAACCCCGGUUCGCAUGAAGGGGGGGGUAAAAACCCGGUGGUAUGAGAUGGACCCGCGUCUGAUUAGCUAGUUGGUAAGGUAACGGCUUACCAAGGCGACGAUCAGUAGCCGACCUGAGAGGGUGACCGGCCACAUUGGGACUGAGACACGGCCCAGACUCCUACGGGAGGCAGCAGUGGGGAAUAUUGCACAAUGGGGGAAACCCUGAUGCAGCGACGCCGCGUGAAGGAUGAAGUAUUUCGGUAUGUAAACUUCUAUCAGCAGGGAAGAAAGUGACGGUACCUGACUAAGAAGCCCCGGCUAACUACGUG